RNAcentral lists this ribosomal RNA (2921 nucleotides) under Staphylococcus aureus H77098. RNAcentral describes it as "bacterial LSU rRNA". It matches the Rfam family "Bacterial large subunit ribosomal RNA". Lineage: Bacteria; Bacillati; Bacillota; Bacilli; Caryophanales; Staphylococcaceae. The record is from RNAcentral.
UUAAGUUAUUAAGGGCGCACGGUGGAUGCCUUGGCACUAGAAGCCGAUGAAGGACGUUACUAACGACGAUAUGCUUUGGGGAGCUGUAAGUAAGCUUUGAUCCAGAGAUUUCCGAAUGGGGAAACCCAGCAUGAGUUAUGUCAUGUUAUCGAUAUGUGAAUACAUAGCAUAUCAGAAGGCACACCCGGAGAACUGAAACAUCUUAGUACCCGGAGGAAGAGAAAGAAAAUUCGAUUCCCUUAGUAGCAGCGAGCGAAACGGGAAGAGCCCAAACCAAAAAGCUUGCUUGUUGGGGUUGUAGGACACUCUAUACGGAGUUACAAAGGACGACAUUAGACGAAUCAUCUGGAAAGAUGAAUCAAAGAAGGUAAUAAUCCUGUAGUCGAAAAUGUUGUCUCUCUUGAGUGGAUCCUGAGUACGACGGAGCACGUGAAAUUCCGUCGGAAUCUGGGAGGACCAUCUCCUAAGGCUAAAUACUCUCUAGUGACCGAUAGUGAACCAGUACCGUGAGGGAAAGGUGAAAAGCACCCCGGAAGGGGAGUGAAAUAGAACCUGAAACCGUGUGCUUACAAGUAGUCAGAGCCCGUUAAUGGGUGAUGGCGUGCCUUUUGUAGAAUGAACCGGCGAGUUACGAUUUGAUGCAAGGUUAAGCAGUAAAUGUGGAGCCGUAGCGAAAGCGAGUCUGAAUAGGGCGUUUAGUAUUUGGUCGUAGACCCGAAACCAGGUGAUCUACCCUUGGUCAGGUUGAAGUUCAGGUAACACUGAAUGGAGGACCGAACCGACUUACGUUGAAAAGUGAGCGGAUGAACUGAGGGUAGCGGAGAAAUUCCAAUCGAACCUGGAGAUAGCUGGUUCUCUCCGAAAUAGCUUUAGGGCUAGCCUCAAGUGAUGAUUAUUGGAGGUAGAGCACUGUUUGGACGAGGGGCCCCUCUCGGGUUACCGAAUUCAGACAAACUCCGAAUGCCAAUUAAUUUAACUUGGGAGUCAGAACAUGGGUGAUAAGGUCCGUGUUCGAAAGGGAAACAGCCCAGACCACCAGCUAAGGUCCCAAAAUAUAUGUUAAGUGGAAAAGGAUGUGGCGUUGCCCAGACAACUAGGAUGUUGGCUUAGAAGCAGCCAUCAUUUAAAGAGUGCGUAAUAGCUCACUAGUCGAGUGACACUGCGCCGAAAAUGUACCGGGGCUAAACAUAUUACCGAAGCUGUGGAUUGUCCUUUGGACAAUGGUAGGAGAGCGUUCUAAGGGCGUUGAAGCAUGAUCGUAAGGACAUGUGGAGCGCUUAGAAGUGAGAAUGCCGGUGUGAGUAGCGAAAGACGGGUGAGAAUCCCGUCCACCGAUUGACUAAGGUUUCCAGAGGAAGGCUCGUCCGCUCUGGGUUAGUCGGGUCCUAAGCUGAGGCCGACAGGCGUAGGCGAUGGAUAACAGGUUGAUAUUCCUGUACCACCUAUAAUCGUUUUAAUCGAUGGGGGGACGCAGUAGGAUAGGCGAAGCGUGCGAUUGGAUUGCACGUCUAAGCAGUAAGGCUGAGUAUUAGGCAAAUCCGGUACUCGUUAAGGCUGAGCUGUGAUGGGGAGAAGACAUUGUGUCUUCGAGUCGUUGAUUUCACACUGCCGAGAAAAGCCUCUAGAUAGAAAAUAGGUGCCCGUACCGCAAACCGACACAGGUAGUCAAGAUGAGAAUUCUAAGGUGAGCGAGCGAACUCUCGUUAAGGAACUCGGCAAAAUGACCCCGUAACUUCGGGAGAAGGGGUGCUCUUUAGGGUUAACGCCCAGAAGAGCCGCAGUGAAUAGGCCCAAGCGACUGUUUAUCAAAAACACAGGUCUCUGCUAAACCGUAAGGUGAUGUAUAGGGGCUGACGCCUGCCCGGUGCUGGAAGGUUAAGAGGAGUGGUUAGCUUCUGCGAAGCUACGAAUCGAAGCCCCAGUAAACGGCGGCCGUAACUAUAACGGUCCUAAGGUAGCGAAAUUCCUUGUCGGGUAAGUUCCGACCCGCACGAAAGGCGUAACGAUUUGGGCACUGUCUCAACGAGAGACUCAGUGAAAUCAUAGUACCUGUGAAGAUGCAGGUUACCCGCGACAGGACGGAAAGACCCCGUGGAGCUUUACUGUAGCCUGAUAUUGAAAUUCGGCACAGCUUGUACAGGAUAGGUAGGAGCCUUUGAAACGUGAGCGCUAGCUUACGUGGAGGCGCUGGUGGGAUACUACCCUAGCUGUGUUGGCUUUCUAACCCGCACCACUUAUCGUGGUGGGAGACAGUGUCAGGCGGGCAGUUUGACUGGGGCGGUCGCCUCCUAAAAGGUAACGGAGGCGCUCAAAGGUUCCCUCAGAAUGGUUGGAAAUCAUUCAUAGAGUGUAAAGGCAUAAGGGAGCUUGACUGCGAGACCUACAAGUCGAGCAGGGUCGAAAGACGGACUUAGUGAUCCGGUGGUUCCGCAUGGAAGGGCCAUCGCUCAACGGAUAAAAGCUACCCCGGGGAUAACAGGCUUAUCUCCCCCAAGAGUUCACAUCGACGGGGAGGUUUGGCACCUCGAUGUCGGCUCAUCGCAUCCUGGGGCUGUAGUCGGUCCCAAGGGUUGGGCUGUUCGCCCAUUAAAGCGGUACGCGAGCUGGGUUCAGAACGUCGUGAGACAGUUCGGUCCCUAUCCGUCGUGGGCGUAGGAAAUUUGAGAGGAGCUGUCCUUAGUACGAGAGGACCGGGAUGGACAUACCUCUGGUGUACCAGUUGUCGUGCCAACGGCAUAGCUGGGUAGCUAUGUGUGGACGGGAUAAGUGCUGAAAGCAUCUAAGCAUGAAGCCCCCCUCAAGAUGAGAUUUCCCAACUUCGGUUAUAAGAUCCCUCAAAGAUGAUGAGGUUAAUAGGUUCGAGGUGGAAGCAUGGUGACAUGUGGAGCUGACGAAUACUAAUCGAUCGAAGACUUAAUCAA